RNAcentral lists this long non-coding RNA (1727 nucleotides) under Salmo salar (Atlantic salmon). RNAcentral describes it as "lncRNA (ENSSSAG00000087829.1)". The record is from RNAcentral. Lineage: Eukaryota; Metazoa; Chordata; Actinopteri; Salmoniformes; Salmonidae.
AGUCUAAAUACUCCUGUUAGGCAUUGAUGUUUAUGGUACAAUGGUGCAACGACAGUACUUUUUUCGCAAAUGCGCUUAUUAAAUCAUCACCCGUUUGGCGAAGUAGGCUGUGAUUCGAUGAGAAAUUAACAGGCACCGCUUCGAUUAUAUGCAACGCAGGACAAGCUAGAUAAACUAGUAAUAUCAUCAACCAUGUGUAGUUAACUAGUGAUUAUGUUAAGAUUGAUAGUUUUUUAUAAGUCUAAUGCUAGCUAGCAACUUACCUUUGCUUCUUGCUGCCCUCGCGUAACAGGUAGUCAGCCUGCCAUGCAGGCUCCUCGUGGAGUGCAAUGUAAGGCAGGUGGUUAGAGCGUUGGACUGGUAACCGAAGGUUGCAAAAACGAAGCCCCCCUGAACAAGGCAGUUAACCCCCGUUUCUAGGCCGUCAUUGUAAAUAAGAAUGUGUUCUUAAUCUGACUUGCCUCGUUAAAUAAAGGUGUAAAAAAAAGAAAAAAAUCGGUGGCCAAAAAUACGGAUUACCGAUUGUUAUGAAAAUUUGAAAUCGGCCCUAAUUAAUCGGCCAUUCCGAUUAAUCGGUCGACCUCUACUGACAGAUCCUUCUCAACAAUGCAGAGAGAGACAACAGGUGUAGACUAACAGAGAUAUGCAGACUGACCAGCCCUUAACCAACAGGUGUAGACCUCACAGUGAAAUGCAGACUGACCAGCCCUUAACCAACAGGUGUAGACCUCACAGUGAAAUGCAGACUGACCAGCCCUUAACCAACAGGUGUAGACCUCACAGUGAAAUGCAGACUGACCAGCCCUUAACCAACAGGUGUAGACCUCACAGUAAAAUGCAGACUGACCAGUCCUUAACCAACAGGUGUAGACCACACAGUGAAAUGCAGACUGACCAGCCCUUAACCAACAGGUGUAGACCUCAGUGAAAUGCAGACUGACCAGUCCUUAACCAACAGGUGUAGACCACACAGUGAAAUGCAGACUGACCAGUCCUUAACCAACAGGUGUAGACCUCACAGUGAAAUGCAGACUGACCAGCCCUUAACCAACAGGUGUAGACCUCACAGUAAAAUGCUGACUGACCAGCCCUUAACCAACAGGUGUAGACCUCACAGUGAAAUGCAGACUGACCAGCCCUUAACCAACAGGUGUAGAGAGAAAUAAUAAAGUAAAACGCAUAAUAAUAAAAGUUAUAAUAAAUACACAAUGAGUAACGAUAACUUGACAUGGUCUCAACUAGCAACAUGAUAUCAUGGAUGAAACAGCAGUUUGACAUGGUCUCAACUAGCAACAUGAUAUCAUGGAUGAAACAGCAGUUUGACAUGGUCUCAACUAGCAACAUGAUAUCAUGGAUGAAACGGCAGUAUUCAACGUUUUCCAGGGAGGAUAAACAUCUCGUUAACCUGAAAGUACGUAAUGGUUAAGGUUUGUAAAUUGCAGGUUAAGUUGCCCCUAGUGGAUGGUAUUGGAAGGCAUCACCCGAUGUCCUGGGGACCGAGACAGACUUCAGUAUUCAUCGGGUGUGAUGGCGUUGCAACAACAGGGGAUACGAGGCGCAAUGAGUGAGAGAAUGGUGGUGAAGUUCGAAAAUCGGGCUUGUAUGAAAUGAAACCUGAUCUUUGUAAGUCUGACCUGCGAUGGAUUUUGUUAUUAUAAUGUUUGUAUUGGUCACAAUAAAUAGUGAUGUAGUCUUUUCAACAUUUUUUAUUAGUGAAAAAGCUGUGU